RNAcentral lists this ribosomal RNA (492 nucleotides) under uncultured bacterium. RNAcentral describes it as "partial 16S ribosomal RNA". It matches the Rfam family "Bacterial small subunit ribosomal RNA", at positions 29 to 507 of the family's 1533-position model. The record is from RNAcentral.
AGUGAACGCUGGCGGUAGGCCUAACACAUGCAAGUCGAACGGCAGCACAGUAAGAGCUUGCUCUUACGGGUGGCGAGUGGCGGACGGGUGAGGAAUACAUCGGAAUCUACUUUUUCGUGGGGGAUAACGUAGGGAAACUUACGCUAAUACCGCAUACGACCUACGGGUGAAAGCAGGGGAUCUUCGGACCUUGCGCGAUUGAAUGAGCCGAUGUCGGAUUAGCUAGUUGGCGGGGUAAAGGCCCACCAAGGCGACGAUCCGUAGCUGGUCUGAGAGGAUGAUCAGCCACACUGGAACUGGGACACGGUCCAGACUCCUACGGGAGGCAGCAGUGGGGAAUAUUGGACGAUGGGCGCAAGCCUGAUCCAGCCAUACCGCGUGGGUGAAGAAGGCCUUCGGGUUGUAAAGCCCUUUUGUUGGGAAAGAAAAGCAGCAGGUUAAUACCCCGCUGUUCUGACGGUACCCAGAGAAUAAGCACCGGCUAACUUCGUG